Molecule: ribosomal RNA, 2952 nt
Filed under: Candidatus Karelsulcia muelleri
Lineage: Bacteria; Pseudomonadati; Bacteroidota; Flavobacteriia; Flavobacteriales
Description: bacterial LSU rRNA
Rfam family: Bacterial large subunit ribosomal RNA
Source: RNAcentral
AGAAGAGCGGAUGGUGGAUGCCUUGGCUCUGAAAGACGAUGAAGGACGUGAGAAGCUGCGAGAAGUUGUGGUGAUUAGCGAAUAAAAAAAUGAUCCACAAAUUUCCGAAUGAGGGAACUCGCUGAAUAUGAAAAUUCAGCCUAAUUUUGAGGGAAACCUGGAGAACUGAAACAUCUAAGUAACCAGAGGAAAAGAAAACAAAAGUGAUUCUGUAAGUAGCGGCGAGCGAAACCAGAAAAGCCCAAACUAUUAUUUGCUAUAAUGGGGUUAGAGGACUAUAAGAUUGAUUAAUUAUUAUAUAAUAGAAUAUUUUGGAAUAAAUAUCCAUAGAAGGUGAAAGACCUGUAUAUGAAAUAUAAUACUAACAGAGUAGGAUCCUGAGUAAAACGGGACACGUGAAAUCCUGUUUGAAUUUCCCAGGACCAUCUGGGAAGGCUAAAUACUUGUCAGAGACCGAUAGUGAACUAGUACCGUGAGGGAAAGGUGAAAAGAACUUCGAAGAGAAGAGUGAAAGAGAUCCUGAAACCAUACGCUCACAAGCAGUCGAAGCUUUUUUAUAAAGUAACGUCGUGCCUUUUGCAUAAUGAACCUACGAGUUAAUUAUUCCGGCAAGGUUAAAUAAUUAAGUUAUGGAGCCGGAGCGAAAGCGAGUAUGAAAGAUGCGAUGAGUCGGUAUAAUUAGACGCGAAACCGAGUGAUCUACCCAUGGGCAGGUUGAAGCGAUGGUAAAACAUAGUGGAGGACCGAACUGGUAAACGUUGAAAAGUUUUCGGAUGACCUGUGGGUAGGAGUGAAAGGCUAAUCAAACUCGGAGAUAGCUCGUACUCCCCGAAAUGCAUUUAGGUGCAGCAUUGUGUAAAAAUAUUACAGAGGUAGAGCUACUGAUUAGAUGAGGGGACUUCAUCGUCUACUAAUUCUUGACAAACUCCGAAUGCUGGAAUAUGUGACACAAUAGUGAGGGCCUGGGUGCUAAGGUCCAGGUCCGAGAGGGAAACAACCCAGACCAACAGCUAAGGCCCCAAAGUAUAUACUAAGUUGAAGAAACGAAGUUCAUUUACGAUGAUAGCUAGGAUGUUAGCUUGGAAGCAGCUAUUCAUUUAAAGAGUGCGUAACAGCUCACUAGUUUAGUGAUUGAGCAUGGAUAAUAAUCGGGCAUAAGUAUAUCGCCGAAGCUAUGGGAUUUUAAAAUCGGUAGGGGAGCAUUGUAAUGACAGAGAAGUUAUAUUUAAAAAGAUAGUGGAGUGAUUACAAAAGAAAAUGUAGGUAUAAGUAACGAUAAUGCAGGUGAGAAACCUGCACACCGAAAGACUAAGGUUUCCUCAGCUAUGUUAAUCAACUGAGGGUUAUUCGGAACCUAAGGUUAAACCGAAAGGUGGAAUUGAUGGAUUACUAUUUAAUAUUAUAGUAUAUAUUUAAUAUUAUUGUCAUGAGGUGACGAAGUGAUGAAAUUGUCGCGUGCUGCCGGAAAUGCACGUUAAAUUGGUUAGGUAGAUUAUAUAUAGGAAAAUCCGUAUAUAUUAACUAAACUGAAAGAGUACCAGAACUUUUAAAAAAAAAAGUUAACUGGAAAGGAGAACUAAUAGCUUCCAAGAAAACCCUCUAAACAAUUUGAAGAUUGAAGAUUGAAGAUUGAAGAUUGAAGAUUGAAGAUUGAAGAUUGAAGAUUGAAGAUUGAAGAUUAUUGAAGAUUCCGUACCAAAACCGACACAGGUAGUUGGGGUUAAGAUCCUAAGGUGCUCGAGUGAAUCACGGCUAAGGAACUAGGCAAAAUAAACCUGUAACUUAGGGAAAAAGGUUGCCCUCAAUUUUUUAAAAUUAGAGGGCCGCAGUAAAAAGGUCCAGGCGACUGUUUAUCAAAAACACAGGGCUCUGCUAAAUUGAAAGAUGAUGUAUAGGGUCUGACACCUGCCCGGUGCUGGAAGGUUAAGGAAGGAGGUUAACAUAUUUGUAAAGCCUUUAACUGAAGCCCCAGUAAACGGCGGCCGUAACUAUAACGGUCCUAAGGUAGCGAAAUUCCUUGUCGGGUAAGUUCCGACCUGCACGAAUGGUGUAACGAUCUGGACACUGUCUCGGCCGUAAGCUCGGUGAAAUUGUAGUAUCGGUGAAGAUGCCGAUUGCUCGCAAUGGGACGAAAAGACCCUGUGAACCUUUACUAUAGCUUCGUAUUGAUUUUGAUUACUUAAUGUGUAGGAUAGGUGGGAGACUUUGAAACAUUAUCGCUAGAUAGUGUGGAGUCAUCCUUGAAAUACCACCCUUUAUUUAAUUGUAAUCUAACUUAAAAAAGAAUAAGGACAUUGCGUGGUGGGUAGUUUGACUGGGGUGGUCGCCUCCAAAAAAGUAACGGAGGCUUCCAAAGGUGCCCUCAACACGUUUGGUAAUCGUGUAUAGAGUGUAAUGGCAUAAGGGCGCUUGACUGUAAGACUUACAAGUCGAACAGAUACGAAAGUAGGGCAUAGUGAUCCGGUGGUUCUGUAUGGAAAGGCCAUCGCUCAAAGGAUAAAAGGUACUCCGGGGAUAACAGGCUAGUCUCCCCCAAGAGCUCACAUCGACGGGGAGGUUCGGCACCUCGAUGUCGGCUCGUCACAUCCUGGGGCUGAAGAAGGUCCCAAGGGUUGGGCUGUUCGCCCAUGAAAGUGGCACGCGAGCUGGGUUCAGAACGUCGUGAGACAGUUCGGUCUCUAUCUAUUGCGAGCGUUAGAAGCUUGAGUGGAUCUAACUCUAGUACGAGAGGACCGGGUUGGACGAACCUAUGGUAUAUCAGUUGUAUCGCCAGGUGCAUUGCUGAGUAGCUAUGUUCGGAUAAGAUAAGCACUGAAAGCAUAUAAGUGCGAAACGAACCACAAGAUGAGGCUUCUUUUAAGGGUCGUUGAAGAUGACAACGUUGAUAGGCUAUAAGUGUAAAGAUAGUAAUAUAAGAGCUGAGUAGUACUAAUUCCCCGUAAGCUUCUAAAU